UACACUCCUGCGGGAGGCAGCAGUGGGGAAUUUUGGACAAUGGGCGAAAGCCUGAUCCAGCAAUGCCGCGUGAGUGAAGAAGGCCUUCGGGUUGUAAAGCUCUUUUGUCAGGGAAGAAACGGUGAAAGCUAAUAUCUUUUGCUAAUGACGGUACCUGAAGAAUAAGCACCGGCUAACUACGUGCCAGCAGCCGCGGUAAUACGUAGGGUGCAAGCGUUAAUCGGAAUUACUGGGCGUAAAGCGUGCGCAGGCGGUUUUGUAAGUCUGAUGUGAAAUCCCCGGGCUCAACCUGGGAAUUGCAUUGGAGACUGCAAGGCUAGAAUCUGGCAGAGGGGGGUAGAAUUCCACGUGUAGCAGUGAAAUGCGUAGAUAUGUGGAGGAACACCGAUGGCGAAGGCAGCCCCCUGGGUCAAGAUUGACGCUCAUGCACGAAAGCGUGGGGAGCAAACAGGAUUAGAAACCCGAGUAGUCCCA
RNAcentral lists this ribosomal RNA (474 nucleotides) under uncultured organism. Its description in RNAcentral is "partial 16S ribosomal RNA". It matches the Rfam family "Bacterial small subunit ribosomal RNA", at positions 332 to 797 of the family's 1533-position model. The record is from RNAcentral.